This 1153-nucleotide long non-coding RNA is filed under the name Oryzias javanicus (javanese ricefish). RNAcentral's name for it is "lncRNA (ENSOJAG00000007967.1)". The record is from RNAcentral. Lineage: Eukaryota; Metazoa; Chordata; Actinopteri; Beloniformes; Adrianichthyidae.
UUUAAGCGUCACCGGCGACGCCUCGGGUGUUAAAGGGUUCAUGGAAAAUAAAAAUAUUUACGUUUAAAUCUAGAAGACUUUUGAUAAAACCUACGUAGUUCUUUGACGCAGUCAUUGACGAGCUGCUGCUCCUUCUCCUCGUAGGUUUCCGUCUCCGUCUUCAGGUGGCUGGCCUGCGCACACAUUGACAGUCAUUUCUCCUGCUCUCUCUGAGGACAGCAGGAGUGACGGAGGAGCGUCACCUCAGAGCGCAGCGACAGGUUCUCCUCUUCCAGCUCCUUCAGCUUCCUCUGCAGGGUGUCGCUCACGAAGCCGCCAGAGGCCGUUUCUGCUUUGAUUUUCUUACCUCUGAAAGACACACGGACCAAAGGAAAGGAGUCACGGACUGAUGAGGGCAUGAAGUUUCAGAUUUGAGAAGGAGGAGUUGGAGCUGACGUGGGGGAGCUGCUGGACUCGUCCUCGCUCUCUUCCACCGCGUUGGUGUAGAACUGCAGCAGCUCGUCCUUCAGGUUCAGCUCAUGGUGAAGCUGGGCCACCUGGAGGAGAACAGAUAGUCAUUCUGUUCAGUCAGAGUCCGAUUCUUCUUGAGGAGCGACUGACCGAUCUUCGCGGCCAGCUCCAGGUCCCGCUCUUUCUACGGUUGGAAAGAAAAACUUUGGUGAUCAGUUCUGAUCCAAAGAAACUCCCAGGAGAAAGAGGACUAGAUCUCACCUCCUCCAACAAACGUGUGACGGCGUCAAUGUCAUUGUAGGUUUUUGUCAUCUGGCCCACCCUGUCCGCACAUAGCACUGUGGAAACACAAAACACAGCAAGUGUGAGGUGCUGCCGCGAUGCCGCGGGAUGUAGCACAGGUGUGUGUGUGUUAGCAGGGGUGUGCGUGUGUGUGUUAGCAUGUGUGUGCGUGGGUGUGUUAGCAUGUGUGUGCGUGUGCCUAUGAAAGAGCAGCAGGAAGUGAAAGGUGAAAAGGUUGUGUUCCAUGGCGCACAGCAAAUGAGUGUGAUGCCCCCGGGGGGGUGGACAUUAUUGAUCUCAGAGCUCUGAUCGAUAAAUCGUCGGGCGUACUAAAAAGUUAUUUCAUGAAAGCGACAGCCGCUGUUUUUAUAAAUAAGACAGUUUGAUUAAAUCAGAUCCAAACCCGAAUGAGUGGGACGGC